UGCAGUCGAGCGAGAAAGUGUAGCAAUACAUGAGUAAAGCGGCGCACGGGUGAGUAACACGUGGAUAACCUGCCUCGAAGUGGGGAAUAACACCGGGAAACCGGUGCUAAUACCGCAUAUACCAACAAGAUCUGCGGAUUUUGUCGGGAAAGGAGCAAUUCGCUUUGAGAGGGGUCCGCGGCUGAUUAGCUAGUUGGUGAGGUAAUGGCUCACCAAGGCAACGAUCAGUAGCCGGUCUGAGAGGACGGUCGGCCACACUGGAACUGAGACACGGUCCAGACUCCUACGGGAGGCAGCAGUGGGGAAUUUUUCGCAAUGGGGGCAACCCUGACGAAGCAAUGCCGCGUGGGUGAUGAAGUCUCUUGGGACGUAAAACCCUUUCGACAGGGACGAAAGCCGCAAGGUUUGACGGUACCUGUAGAAGAAGCCCCGGCUAACUCCGUGCCAGCAGCCGCGGUAAUACGGGGGGGGCAAGCGUUGUUCGGAAUUACUGGGCGUAAAGGGUGCGUAGGCGGCUUUCUAAGUUGGAUGUGAAAACUCUGGGCUCAACCCAGAGCCUGCAUCCAAAACUGGAAGGCUAGGGUUCUGGAGGGGAAAGCGGAAUUCCUGGUGUAGCGGUGAAAUGCGUAGAUAUCAGGAGGAACACCGGUGGCGAAGGCGGCUUUCUGGACAGAUACCGACGCUGAGGCACGAAAGCUAGGGGAGCAAACAGGAUUAGAUACCCUGGUAGUCCUAGCCCUAAACUAUGGAUACUUGCUGUG
This 761-nucleotide ribosomal RNA is filed under the name uncultured bacterium. RNAcentral's name for it is "bacterial SSU rRNA". It matches the Rfam family "Bacterial small subunit ribosomal RNA", at positions 56 to 824 of the family's 1533-position model. The record is from RNAcentral.